GUGGCUGAAGAUGAGGAAGGAUGCUACCGCCAAUAGCAGCAACCACUGUUAUUGGGGGGCUCUAAAGAGCCUACUGGGGAUGCCGAGGGAGUUCGAGUUCAAGGACCUCGACAAAGCGAUCAACAAUUUCGACAAGAAAAUGAAGCUAGGGAAAGGGGGCUUUGACGAGGUGUACCGGGGCAUGUUGCCUGGGGAGAACAAGCAGGUUGUCGUGAAGCGAUUCUCUAGAGGUGGCACCUUCGCUCCAAAUGACUUCCUCAAGGAACUCACCAUCAUCAACCGCCUUCGCCAUAAGAACCUCAUCCCCCUUGUUGGCGAGUUCUUCUUGCCCGCCCUAUUUCAUUGUCCAGUUCUAUUCCUCCAAUUUUCACUCUAUUAGUUACCCGAUUCGAUCAUUAAUUUCAUUUGUGCUGCAAAUUAUUCUUCUAACGUUGGUGGUUUCUCAAGCACAUCAAAACAACUUUAUCCCAUUAUCAUUUGAAAAAACUUUGAUUUGAAUUUAACUUUUCUCAUCUCUCUAUAUGAGAUCCUAGCAAUCUUUAUCAUAUAAAGAAUAUUUGACUCUAUUAUGUUGUGCUUGCUUAUCAUCCAAGUCUUUCAUGAUUUGCUGGUGUUCUCUUUUGUUGAUUUGUAGCUGAUACACUAUUUUUAAGGUACCAUUUAUCUACUUGUUUUUAAUCUAAUCUCUAUUUUUUACUACAAUAAUAUCUCCAUGGUUUCUACUAAUCUAUCUCUACAUGCAAACACCCUUUGAAGAAGUGACAGAAAUAUUUGUUGGUCGUAGGGUUUUCCUACAAAAAGGUUUUGCUUAUGUUGUGAUGCAUCAGGUCCAUGUUAAAUUUAUCUUUAUACUUUCAAACUCUAUAAGAUGUGAUUAUAACUUUAUACUUGUUCAGAACUUUUUUUUCAAGUUGUAUCCCUUGUCACCACUCAAUUCCGAAGCAAUCUCUCAAAGUCCCUUGUCUUAACCAACAGGUAAUUGUUCUAUGUUCAUAUUCAAUUAACUAUCUAAAAAUAAUAAUAUUUUUUAACAAUACACGUGUAAAUGUCUGAGCUUUCAUCUGAAGUCUUUGAAACUCCAUAAGAUGUUAUUAUAACUGUAUAUUUGUUUGGAACUAUUUUUUAGGUUGUGUCCCUUAUUGUCACUCAAUUUCAAAGUAAUAUUUCAAAGUCCUUUGUCUUAACCAACAGUUAAUUGUUCAUAUAAUUUAAAUUCAACAUUGCAUUUGUUGGGAUUGUCAUUGCUAUCGAGAAUAGUUGCUUGUGCGAUUUGAUAAUUUUAAUUUUUGCUUGCUACAUACCUAUGAUAUUAGAUCAAAUCAAAAGAAAGAUAUAAAAGAGAAGCGUGAUGAUGGGUGCUCACUAUUAUUAUUAUUAUUUUAUUUUUAUAUUUAGAUCUUCAAGCUUUAUAAAUCUUGUGAUUUUUUAUCGUGACAAACAUGGUGUGAGUUCUUUGCAGAAAAUGGAUAUCAACCAUUAGAGACACAGAAAGAGACAGGCUAGCCUAAAAAUGUGUUAGAAUAUUGUUAGUUAGACUAUUGCUAGUUAAUCAAAUGUGUUGAAGUAUUUAUGAUUGUUGAAGUAUUUAUUGCAGGCUAAAAAUUCUGUUGAAAUAUCUUUGAAGGACAUUAACAAGCUAGCUAGCUAGUAGUUCAAAACCUCUUUGCAUGUGCCAUUUAUUUGAUAAGUUAAGAGAAACUCACCAUUUAAAGCAUGGAGGAAGAAUGCAACUUGGACUUUUCUUGAAGGUGUAGGCUUAAGACUGGAAGAUGAUGCUCUUCUUUUCUGGAAAGCAAAGUUCUCUUAGAAUGUCCUACAAAUUGUUUUCUUUUUCAAUUUUACUUUUGUAUUUUAUUCAUUCAGGUAAACUACUACAUCAGAGAUGCAAUUUCUUAAUAUACUAUAAUAUGAUGAAGGGCAAUGGUUCCUCA
Molecule: long non-coding RNA, 1931 nt
Organism: Zingiber officinale
Lineage: Eukaryota; Viridiplantae; Streptophyta; Magnoliopsida; Zingiberales; Zingiberaceae
Exons: 3
Source: RefSeq, a predicted model, not a curated record